Penicillium oxalicum 114-2 is the source of this 94-nucleotide transfer RNA. It matches the Rfam family "tRNA". Rfam says of the family: Transfer RNA (tRNA) molecules are approximately 80 nucleotides in length. Their secondary structure includes four short double-helical elements and three loops (D, anti-codon, and T loops). Further hydrogen bonds mediate the characteristic L-shaped molecular structure. tRNAs have two regions of fundamental functional importance: the anti-codon, which is responsible for specific mRNA codon recognition, and the 3' end, to which the tRNAs corresponding amino acid is attached (by aminoacyl-tRNA synthetases). tRNAs cope with the degeneracy of the genetic code in two manners: having more than one tRNA (with a specific anti-codon) for a particular amino acid; and 'wobble' base-pairing, i.e. permitting non-standard base-pairing at the 3rd anti-codon position. Lineage: Eukaryota; Fungi; Ascomycota; Eurotiomycetes; Eurotiales; Aspergillaceae. The record is from Rfam.
GCUCGCUUGGCCAAGGGGUAAGGCGUCUGUCUCGUAUUGUAAUUACAAUAAUACGGUUAACAGAAGAUCGUCGGUUCGAAUCCGACAGUGAGCA